CUCAACCCUGGAAUUGCAUUCCAAACUGGCGGACUAGAGUACGAUAGAGGGAGGUAGAAUUCGGAGUGUAGCGGUGAAAUGCGUAGAUAUUCCGAGGAAUACCAGUGGCGAAGGCGGCCUCCUGGAUUGAUACUGACACUGAGGCGCGAAAGCGUGGGGAGCAAACAGGAUUAGAUACCCUGGUAGUCCACGCCGUAAACGAUGUCUACUAGCCGUUGGGAGGCUUGACCUCUUAGUGGCGAAGCCAACGCGAUAAGUAGACCGCCUGGGGAGUACGGUCGCAAGAUUAAAACUCAAAUGAAUUGACGGGGGCCCGCACAAGCGGUGGAGCAUGUGGUUUAAUUCGAUGCAACGCGAAAAACCUUACCAGGCCUUGACAUCCUGAGAACUUUCCAGAGAUGGAUUGGUGCCUUCGGGAACCC
This 422-nucleotide ribosomal RNA is filed under the name uncultured Gammaproteobacteria bacterium. RNAcentral describes it as "bacterial SSU rRNA". It matches the Rfam family "Bacterial small subunit ribosomal RNA", at positions 608 to 1029 of the family's 1533-position model. Lineage: Bacteria; Pseudomonadati; Pseudomonadota; Gammaproteobacteria. The record is from RNAcentral.